CGAAGGGGGCUAGCGUUGUUCGGAAUUACUGGGCGUAAAGCGCGCGCAGGCGGUUUUUCAAGUCAGUGGUGAAAGCCCGGAGCUCAACUCCGGAACUGCCAUUGAAACUGUAAACUUGAGGACGAGAGAGGUGAGUGGAAUUCCCAGUGUAGAGGUGAAAUUCGUAGAUAUUGGGAAGAACACCGGUGGCGAAGGCGGCUCACUGGCUCGUAUCUGACGCUCAGGCGCGACAGCGUGGGGAUCAAACAGGAUUAGAUACCCUGGUAGUCCACGCCGUAAACGAUGAAUGCUAGCCGUUGGGCAGCUUGCUGUUCAGUGGCGCAGCUAACGCAUUAAGCAUUCCGCCUGGGGAGUACGGCCGCAAGGUUG
RNAcentral lists this ribosomal RNA (369 nucleotides) under uncultured organism. RNAcentral describes it as "bacterial SSU rRNA". It matches the Rfam family "Bacterial small subunit ribosomal RNA", at positions 526 to 896 of the family's 1533-position model. The record is from RNAcentral.